AGUAGAAAUUGCUGGGUAACAUGAUAAUAACUGUAUUCAAUUUUCUGAGGAACUGUCAGGAUGUUUUCCAAAGCAAUUACAUCAUUUUAGAUUCUCACAUCAAU
This 104-nucleotide microRNA precursor is filed under the name Marmota monax (woodchuck). Lineage: Eukaryota; Metazoa; Chordata; Mammalia; Rodentia; Sciuridae. The record is from RNAcentral.